CACUCCCACCCCUGUGAUUAUACCUUUAAUUGUUGCUUCGGCGGGACUUCGCGCCCGCCGGGGACCCAAACCUUCUGAAUUUUUUAAUAAGUAUCUUCUGAGUGGUUAAAAAAAAUGGAUGGUAACUUUCAACAGGGGAUCGCUUGGUUCGCGCAUCGCAUGAAUAACGGGUCUAAUUGCCAGGGGUAGGGUGAAUUGCAAAAUGCAGUGAAUCAUCGAAUCUUUGAACGCACAUUGCGCCCGUCAGUAUUCUGGCGGGCAUGCCUGUUCGAGCGUCAUUACGCCCCUCAAGUCCCCUGUGGGACUUGGUGUUGGGGAUCGGCGAGGCUGGUUUUCCAGCACAGCCGUCCCUUAAAUUAAUUGGCGGUCUCGCCGUGGCCCUCCUCUGCGCAGUAGUAAAGCACUCGCAACAGGAGCCCGGCGCGGUCCACUGCCGUAAAACCCCCCAACUUUUUAUAGUUGACCUCGAAUCAGGUAGGACUACCCGCUGAACUUAAGCAUAUCAAUAAGCGGAGGAA
RNAcentral lists this ribosomal RNA (518 nucleotides) under Metarhizium anisopliae. Its description in RNAcentral is "eukaryotic LSU rRNA". The stretch from base 124 to 278 matches the Rfam family "5.8S ribosomal RNA". Lineage: Eukaryota; Fungi; Ascomycota; Sordariomycetes; Hypocreales; Clavicipitaceae. The record is from RNAcentral.